This 478-nucleotide ribosomal RNA is filed under the name uncultured bacterium. Its description in RNAcentral is "partial 16S ribosomal RNA". It matches the Rfam family "Bacterial small subunit ribosomal RNA", at positions 29 to 523 of the family's 1533-position model. The record is from RNAcentral.
AGUGAACGCUGGCGGCGUGCUUAACACAUGCAAGUCGAACGAGAACGGAAUAUAGCUUGCUAUAUUUGUCAGCUAAGUGGCGCACGGGUGAGUAAUGUAUAGAUAACCUGCCCUUAAGAAAGGAAUAACAGUUGGAAACGACUGCUAAUGCCCUAUAUGCCUUUAAUACAUAAGUAUGCAAGGGAAACGCUUUAGUGCUUAAGGAUGGGUCUGUAUGGUAUCAGCUUGUUGGUGAGGUAAUGGCUCACCAAGGCUAUGACGCCUAACUGGUUUGAGAGGAUGAUCAGUCACACUGGAACUGAGACACGGUCCAGACUCCUACGGGAGGCAGCAGUGGGGAAUAUUGCACAAUGGACGAAAGUCUGAUGCAGCAACGCCGCGUGGAGGAUGACACAUUUCGGUGCGUAAACUCCUUUUAUUUGAUCAUGAAGAUUGGAUGAAUAAGCACCUACUAACUACGUGCCAGCAGCCGCCGUAA